GGCUGUUGAGAGCGUGCCACGUGCGAGCGAACAAGAGAAUAAUGGCCAUGGCGCCAUCAAAGCAUCCAAAAACGUCGAUUUCCCGGGCCGUCUCCGCUUCCACUCCUACAUACCUGUUGAUGUGGGUAAGAUUUUUAGAGCGAGAGCAUUACAUCAAACACUUAAAUUGCAGUCUCCGUCGUUCUCCGGAUCGACAGAAGCAUUAGAAUGGAGUCUGGGUUGAAGCCAAUGGAUGCAGAGCAGCUCAGAGAGAAUGCUCACAAGAUGGUUGAUUUUAUUGCUGAUUACUACAAGAAUAUUGAGAGUUUGCCCGUUCUCAGCCAAGUUGAGCCCGGGUACCUCCGUAACCUCAUACCAGAUUCUGCCCCAAAUAAUCCCGAGUUGCUGCAAGAUGUCCUUGAUGACAUCCAGGCUAAAAUAAUACCGGGAGUGACCAAUUGGCAAAGCCCAAAUUAUUUUGCAUAUUAUCCUUCUAAUAGCAGUAUUGCUGGAUUUUUAGGAGAAAUGCUUAGUGGUGGUCUUAACAUCGUAGGUUUUAGUUGGGUGACUUCUCCUGCGGCAACAGAGCUUGAAAUGAUUGUUCUGGAUUGGCUUGCUAAAUUGCUGAAGCUGCCAGAGGAAUUUCUUUCUGGUGGACAAGGUGGUGGAGUGAUACAGGGCACAGCAAGUGAAGCUGUUCUAGUUGUAUUAUUGGCUGCUCGUGAUAAGGUUUUGAAUAGGGUUGGAAAAACAGCCCUUGAAAAGCUUGUUGUGUAUACAUCUGAUCAAACACAUUCCGCUCUUCAAAAAGCCUGUCAGAUAGGGGGAAUCCAUCCCGAAAAUUGCAGGGUGCUAAAAACAGACGCUUCUACUGACUAUGCACUUUCUCCAGAAUUACUCAGUGAAACAAUUUCGCAUGACAUUGCUGUGGGAUUAAUCCCUUUCUUUCUGUGUGCUACAGUUGGCACCACUUCAUCAUCAACUGUUGAUCCUUUGAGAAAAUUGGGAAAGAUUGCUAAGACUAAUGGAAUGUGGUUUCAUGUGGAUGCUGCAUAUGCUGGAAGUGCUUGUGUAUGUCCAGAAUAUCGUCACUACAUUGAUGGUGUCGAAGAAGCUGACUCUUUUAAUAUGAAUGCACAUAAAUGGUUCCUAACAAAUUUCGAUUGCUCAGCCCUUUGGGUAAAGGACAGAAAUGCUUUGAUAAGGUCCCUAUCCACGAACCCAGAGUUUCUCAAAAACAAAGCAUCUGAAGCGAAUUUGGUUGUGGAUUAUAAAGAUUGGCAAAUUCCACUUGGACGUCGGUUUAGGUCAUUGAAACUCUGGAUGGUGCUACGGCUGUAUGGUUCGGAGAAUCUACAGUGCUACAUAAGAAAUCAUAUCAAGUUGGCUGCACAUUUUGAAGGGCUUGUCAAACAGGACCAAAGAUUUGAGGUUGUUACCCCUCGGAUAUUUUCGUUGGUUUGUUUUCGCCUUCUGCAUCCCAACAAAGAUGAAGACAAUGCCAACCAACUGAACCGCAAACUGUUACAUGAUGUAAAUUCAACUGGGAAAAUCUUCAUAUCUCACACAGUUCUGUCCAGUGAAUAUAUUUUACGCUUUGCAGUAGGAGCCCCACUGACUGAAGAAAGGCAUGUAAAUGCAGCAUGGAAAGUUUUGCAAGAUGAGGCCUCUGCCUUGCUCAAAAAUCUCUAGGUGUCAAUUCUUGUGGUGGUAGCUCUGCUGUUACAUUCACUUCGAGAAAUAAACUGAUGACCCAACACGUGCACAACAAAUAAGGCCUAGCACUAAGGCUACUCUCACGCAAAGGCCGGGCAACAACAAAUACACAAAGGCCCACACUUGGGGCAACACCAAAUAGGGGGCUUAAAUUGAGGAAGCUAAGGUUUGAACCGAAAACCUCCCGCUCAAAUACCAUUUUAAGAUUAAUUACUUUGCCAUUCAACCCAAUAAGUUAUGGUUUGGGUUGAGGCAUUUCACAUCAUUUAUACAUAUUCUAACAAAAUGGAACUACAAGAAUGCUAUUUUGGUGUUUCUACUCUUAUAUAAUAUCUAGACAUUCAAAUUAGUACGCUUCAUG
Tripterygium wilfordii is the source of this 2056-nucleotide RNA transcript. It is a transcript of the gene named tyrosine decarboxylase 2, with no coding region annotated. The record is from RefSeq and is a predicted model, not a curated record. The transcript is spliced from 14 exons. NCBI's taxonomy places the organism in Eukaryota, Viridiplantae, Streptophyta, Magnoliopsida, Celastrales, Celastraceae.